This 704-nucleotide long non-coding RNA is filed under the name Medicago truncatula (barrel medic). RNAcentral's name for it is "long non-coding RNA (MTRU_LNC002337)". The record is from RNAcentral. Lineage: Eukaryota; Viridiplantae; Streptophyta; Magnoliopsida; Fabales; Fabaceae.
UUGAAUAUAUGCUGCAAAAAAUAUGGUUUGAUUUUUAUAUAAUUUUGUUGGGUUUCAGAUCAUGUUACUGUGAGUUUUGCAAGAAGUGGAGGACCUGGGGGUCAGAAUGUCAAUAAAGGUUUGGUUUUUUUUUUUUUUACUUGUUUCCCUUUUUUUGUUAUAGUUACUAUCGUUUUGAGUUCCUAUAAUUAUUUGGAAUUUAGUUUUUUAGUCCUUGUAUUCACUUUUUAGGUUAGUCUGUGUUGGAAAUUUGAUAAGUAAAUGCUAGAAGAUUAUAGAAGUAUGGCAUAUUCCUAUUUUCAUGAUUAAGAAAAGCUAUAAUUGAACCCUUGGAAAUUAGGAGGCACUGUUUGCUUAUUUGCUCAAGGGAUAAGAAUUCAUUUUCUUAUAUGUUAAGAACAAAAAGCAUAUAUAAAGGCAUGCUUGUAUAUCAUGUUGAGUUAAUUUGUAAAAGAAAAAAAUCUUAAUAGCUGAGGAAAUGAACAUGGACAAAGAUUUAGGGACGAUACCUUCAAUUUGGUUCAAGUAAGACAUUUCUUUAAUGACAAAGAAUAAUAACAUGUUAUGCUAGCAUUUACUUGAAUUUCCAACACUGCCUCCCUUAAAUCAAGCUUCUAAACUUAUCAUUUCAACCUUAUUUUUCUUCUUCAAAUUGUAAAAUAACUCAAUCUUCAAAGGUUUUUUAAAAAUAUCCACAACUUGUU